ACACCAUACUACCAAACCACCUAAACAAUUAAACUGGUCCACUUCUAGACAAAUGCCCCAGUAAGCCUAUUAUACAAAGAAUUUAGUUAGAGGCCCAAUUCAUGAAAUUAAAGUGGCCCAUUACAUAAAUGAAACUAAAGAAAAUGACAAGUAAAUAAAAGGGUAAAAAGUAUACUCCUUGUCACCACCAUCGUAUCUCUCUCAUAAAUCUCAAAAAGAACAGACAACCUCAACGGCACAACUCGUCUCUCUCUCAUCUCUAACUCCUCUCAAUUUUCAUCUCAAAUUCCCAAAUCAGAAACAGCAAGCUCAUCUCCCUUCCUAUCUACUAUCUUAAAAAAUUAAGGAAAACAUCCAUAGCUACUGUCACUGCCCCUUCGUCGCCGCUAAGCUCCAACCGGCUCAGCAUCCGUCCUCGGCGGCGCCGCUACCCACAACUGAUUUUGGAUGGAAGAAUGGGUGAGGAAGAGAUGGCUGCGUGAGUUAAAAAUAAGGAGAGGAAAAUCAGUUGGAGAUUUUGAGGGAAGAUGGAGAUAUGGCAAAACCGUGUGGGAGAAGUUGGGAGAAUUAUUUGACCAAAAAUUUGACUGCAGAAAAGAAUUUAUUUUAUUGGGCUUCCCAACAAAAAAAGGGGCUAGAACAAGAUUGAUAAAGUAAUAGGCCCAUAUAUUUAAGUCAGAACAUAGGUUAAAUUGUUGUGUCUUUAUUUUAGUACUUUGGUGUUAUUCCGAGGACUUGUCAACGACUGCCCAUUUUUCUAAUCAACGAAUCUCACGUCAAUCUCGUCGACUAUUUUCACCACA
This is a long non-coding RNA of Salvia hispanica, 803 nucleotides long. RefSeq lists it as uncharacterized. Lineage: Eukaryota; Viridiplantae; Streptophyta; Magnoliopsida; Lamiales; Lamiaceae. The record is from RefSeq and is a predicted model, not a curated record.